UUCUCCUGGAAAAAAGGGUGGUAAUGCCGGAUGCUCCGACUCCUCGCAUGGGGUGUCGGGAAAGAUUUCAUCGGUAUGGGAUGGGGUCGCGUCCUAUCAGGUAGUCGGCGGGGUAACGGCCCACCGAGCCUACGACGGGUAGCCGGCCUGAGAGGGCGACCGGCCACAUUGGGACUGAGAUACGGCCCAGACUCCUACGGGAGGCAGCAGUGGGGAAUAUUGCACAAUGGGCGCAAGCCUGAUGCAGCGACGCCGCGUGCGGGAUGACGGCCUUCGGGUUGUAAACCGCUUUUGAUCGGGAGCAAGCCUUCGGGUGAGUGUACCUUUCGAAUAAGCACCGGCUAACUACGUGCCAGCAGCCGCGGUAAUACGUAGGGUGCAAGCGUUAUCCGGAAUUAUUGGGCGUAAAGGGCUCGUAGGCGGUUCGUCGCGUCCGGUGUGAAAGUCCAUCGCUUAACGGUGGAUCUGCGCCGGGUACGGGCGGGCUGGAGUGCGGUAGGGGAGACUGGAAUUCCCGGUGUAACGGUGGAAUGUGUAGAUAUCGAAAAAAAAACACC
Molecule: ribosomal RNA, 557 nt
Filed under: Bifidobacterium pseudocatenulatum
Lineage: Bacteria; Bacillati; Actinomycetota; Actinomycetes; Bifidobacteriales; Bifidobacteriaceae
Description: bacterial SSU rRNA
Rfam family: Bacterial small subunit ribosomal RNA
Source: RNAcentral